AGGUGUCUGUGUGCUUGUGAAGCGCUCCCUUGUUAGUUCCUUCUGUGAGACUCGGGGGAGACUGAAGAGGGAAAUCACCUGCGGGGAAUGAACAGGAAAGCAAUAAGAAGAUUUGGAAAAGAGGCACUGGCUACUGGAGGAAGGGAGAAAUCACCGAGAGAGCGAAAGAUGUAACAGGUAAAACUGGAGAUACAGAAGAAAACCUUUUUUAUUUCACGGUUUUAUGUAGGGCUGAAAUUCAGAGUAAUCUGGACAAGUCAUAAUGAGCUUAUAUGAUAAACCAAACCUGUGUUGCAAUCGCCCAUUUAAGACUAAGAACACAAUAAAAUAUGUAUAUAGGGAGCAGAAAAUUUCCUCAGCAGUAGAAGAGGCAGGCAGAGAUCUAAAUGCCUGUUUUAUUUUAUUUUUUUGAGACAGAGUUUCACUCUUGCUGCCCAGGCUGGAGUGCAGUGGCGCAAUCUCGGCUGACUGCAACCUCCGCCUCCCGGGUUCAAGCAAUUCCCCUGCCUUAGCCUCCGGAGUAGCUGGGAUUACAGGCACGCACCACCAUGCCCAGCUAAUUUUUGUAUUUUUUUAGUAGAGACAGCGUUUCGCCACAUUGGCCAGUCUGGUCUCGAACUCCUGACCUCAGGUGAUCCACCCGCCUCAGCCUCCCAAAGUGCUGGGAGGGAUUAAAGGCAUGAGCCACUGCGCCUGGCCCUAAAUGUCUCUUGAGGAAGAAUAGCUAGCCUACUACUUUUAUUUCUUUUAUUUUUUAUAUUUUUUAUUUUUUGAGACAGGGUCUCACUCUGUCACCCAGGCUGGAGUGCAGUGGUGCGAUCUUGGCUCACUGCAACCUCCACCUCCCGGGUUCAAGUGACUCUCCUGCCUCAGCCUCCCAAGUAGCUGGGAUUAUAGGUGCCCACCACCACACCUGGCUAAUUUUUGUAUUUUUAGUACAGACGGGGUUUCACCGUGUUGGCCAGGCUGGUCUCAAACUCCUGACCUCAAGUGAUCUGCCCACCGUGGCCUCCCAAAGUGCUGAGAUUACAGGCAUGAGCCACCAUGCCCAGCCUCUACUACUUUUAGAAUUUGAUACUUAAUGUAAAGGACACCUACCAAAAAUGGUUUUUCCCAUACAUUAUGGUAGGUGUCUGAAAUUCAUCUCACCAUAGGAGUCCUUUUCUUUUAUGUGGGGCAGUGAUCCUCUGUAGUGUAUAACAAAAUCACCUUGGGAGUUUAUAAAAAUGCAUAUCUCUAUGCUCAACCCCCAAGAAAUUCAGUACCUCUAAGAUAGGCCCCAGGACUUGUUUCAACUUUUUCUUAUAAAAAAUGUUUAAGCACAUAAAAAGUAGAGAGAAGAGUAUAAUGAGCCUUCAUGAGUCAGUCAUUCAGCUUGAACAAUUAUCAAUAUGUGGCCAAUCUCCUUCCCCACCCCUCACAUGGAUAUCACCCAUAAAUACUUCAUCAUAUAAAGCUCUAAAAGAUAAGAAUUCUUGACCAGGCAUGGUGGCUCAGGCCUGUAAUCCCAGCGUUUUGGGAGACCGAGGCAGGAGGAUUGCUUGAGCCCAGGAGUUUGAGACCAGCCUGGGAAACAUAGCUAGACCCCAUCUCUACAAAAAAUUUAAAAAUUAG
Homo sapiens (human) is the source of this 1614-nucleotide long non-coding RNA. Ensembl annotates it as RABGAP1L divergent transcript. Its record names the gene RABGAP1L-DT. NCBI's taxonomy places the organism in Eukaryota, Metazoa, Chordata, Mammalia, Primates, Hominidae. The record is from Ensembl.